GUCUACGGGCAUGCCACCCUGAAUGUGCCUGAUCUCGUCUGAUCUCGGAAGCUAAGCAGGGUUGGGCCUGGUUAGUACUUGGAUGAGAAACCACCUAGGAAUACCAAGUGCUGUAGAAG
This 119-nucleotide ribosomal RNA is filed under the name Pteropus alecto (black flying fox). Lineage: Eukaryota; Metazoa; Chordata; Mammalia; Chiroptera; Pteropodidae. The record is from RNAcentral.